GACGAACGCUGGCGGCGUGCUUAACACAUGCAAGUCGAACGGAAAGGCCCUUCGGGGUACUCGAGUGGCGAACGGGUGAGUAACACGUGGGCAAUCUGCCCUGCACACCGGGAUAAGCCUGGGAAACUGGGUCUAAUACCGGAUAGGACCACUUGGCGCAUGCCUUGUGGUGGAAAGCUUUUGCGGUGUGGGAUGGGCCCGCGGCCUAUCAGCUUGUUGGUGGGGUGACGGCCUACCAAGGCGACGACGGGUAGCCGGCCUGAGAGGGUGUCCGGCCACACUGGGACUGAGAUACGGCCCAGACUCCUACGGGAGGCAGCAGUGGGGAAUAUUGCACAAUGGGCGCAAGCCUGAUGCAGCGACGCCGCGUGGGGGAUGACGGCCUUCGGGUUGUAAACCUCUUUCACCAUCGACGAAGGUCCGGGUUUUCUCGGAUUGACGGUAGGUGGAGAAGAAGCACCGGCCAACUACGUGCCAGCAGCCGCGGUAAUACGUAGGGUGCGAGCGUUGUCCGGAAUUACUGGGCGUAAAGAGCUCGUAGGUGGUUUGUCGCGUUGUUCGUGAAAUCUCACGGCUUAACUGUGAGCGUGCGGGCGAUACGGGCAGACUAGAGUACUGCAGGGGAGACUGGAAUUCCUGGUGUAGCGGUGGAAUGCGCAGAUAUCAGGAGGAACACCGGUGGCGAAGGCGGGUCUCUGGGCAGUAACUGACGCUGAGGAGCGAAAGCGUGGGGAGCGAACAGGAUUAGAUACCCUGGUAGUCCACGCCGUAAACGGUGGGUACUAGGUGUGGGUUUCCUUCCUUGGGAUCCGUGCCGUAGCUAACGCAUUAAGUACCCCGCCUGGGGAGUACGGCCGCAAGGCUAAAACUCAAAGGAAUUGACGGGGGCCCGCACAAGCGGCGGAGCAUGUGGAUUAAUUCGAUGCAACGCGAAGAACCUUACCUGGGUUUGACAUGCACAGGACGCGUCUAGAGAUAGGCGUUCCCUUGUGGCCUGUGUGCAGGUGGUGCAUGGCUGUCGUCAGCUAGUGUCGUGAGAUGUUGGGUUAAGUCCCGCAACGAGCGCAACCCUUGUCUCAUGUUGCCAGCGGGUAAUGCCGGGGACUCGUGAGAGACUGCCGGGGUCAACUCGGAGGAAGGUGGGGAUGACGUCAAGUCAUCAUGCCCCUUAUGUCCAGGGCUUCACACAUGCUACAAUGGCCGGUACAAAGGGCUGCGAUGCCGCGAGGUUAAGCGAAUCCUUUUAAAGCCGGUCUCAGUUCGGAUCGGGGUCUGCAACUCGACCCCGUGAAGUCGGAGUCGCUAGUAAUCGCAGAUCAGCAACGCUGCGGUGAAUACGUUCCCGGGCCUUGUACACACCGCCCGUCACGUCAUGAAAGUCGGUAACACCCGAAGCCAGUGGCCUAACCCUCGGGAGGGAGCUGUCGAAGGUGGGAUCGGCGAUUGGGACGAAGUCGUAACAAGGUAACCGUA
RNAcentral lists this ribosomal RNA (1473 nucleotides) under Mycobacterium kansasii. RNAcentral's name for it is "16S ribosomal RNA". It matches the Rfam family "Bacterial small subunit ribosomal RNA". The record is from RNAcentral. Lineage: Bacteria; Bacillati; Actinomycetota; Actinomycetes; Mycobacteriales; Mycobacteriaceae.